RNAcentral lists this ribosomal RNA (409 nucleotides) under uncultured bacterium. RNAcentral's name for it is "bacterial SSU rRNA". It matches the Rfam family "Bacterial small subunit ribosomal RNA", at positions 355 to 776 of the family's 1533-position model. The record is from RNAcentral.
UGGGGAAUAUUGCACAAUGGGCGCAAGCCUGAUGCAGCGACGCCGCGUGAGGGAUGACGGCCUUCGGGUUGUAAACCUCUUUCAGCACCGACGAAGCGCAAGUGACGGUAGGUGCAGAAGAAGGACCGGCCAACUACGUGCCAGCAGCCGCGGUAAUACGUAGGGUCCGAGCGUUGUCCGGAAUUACUGGGCGUAAAGAGCUCGUAGGUGGUUUGUCGCGUUGUCCGUGAAAUCCCACGGCUUAACUGUGGGCGUGCGGGCGAUACGGGCAGACUGGAGUACUGCAGGGGAGACUGGAAUUCCUGGUGUAGCGGUGGAAUGCGCAGAUAUCAGGAGGAACACCGGUGGCGAAGGCGGGUCUCUGGGCAGUAACUGACGCUGAGGAGCGAAAGCGUGGGGAGCGAACAGG